AUUUGAAUUAAAUUUUAACACUGUUGGAAGAAAGAUGGAAGAAAAUCUUCUUUCUUCACAGGGGAAGCAGAUUUUGCUUCUUAUCAUAAGAAGAACCAAGCAGUGCCUCUGACCUGGGCCAGUGGUCUCCUCUCAGUGGUGGCCAUUCAGACCUCCAAACACAGGGCACUGGCAGCUUGGCUCCCCUUACAAAAACCUCCACAUGUGCAAGAAGCAGAACUCAAGCUGCCUAUCAGAUGUUUUUGACCAGCCUUUUGUCCUCUGCAACUCAGUGGGAAGCAGCAC
RNAcentral lists this long non-coding RNA (285 nucleotides) under Zonotrichia albicollis (white-throated sparrow). RNAcentral's name for it is "lncRNA (ENSZALG00000015040.1)". Lineage: Eukaryota; Metazoa; Chordata; Aves; Passeriformes; Passerellidae. The record is from RNAcentral.